Molecule: ribosomal RNA, 492 nt
Filed under: uncultured bacterium
Lineage: Bacteria
Description: partial 16S ribosomal RNA
Rfam family: Bacterial small subunit ribosomal RNA
Source: RNAcentral
GAUGAACGCUAGCUACAGGCUUAACACAUGCAAGUCGAGGGGAAACGACAUCGAAAGCUUGCUUUUGAUGGGCGUCGACCGGCGCACGGGUGAGUAACGCGUAUCCCACCUGCCCAUCACUUGGGAAUAACCUUGCGACAGUAAGACUAAUACACAAUGAUCUCCCACGAAGGCAUCGGAAUGGGAUUAAAGAUUUAUCGGUGAUGGAUGGGGAUGCGUCUGAUUAGCUUGUUGGCGAGGUAACGGCCCUCCAAGGCAACGAUUAGUAGGGGUUCUGAGAGUAACGUGCCUGACAGUGGAACUGGGAAACGGUGCAAACACCUACGGGAGGCAGUAGUGAGGAAUAUUGGUCAAGGGGCUAGAGCCUGAACCAGCGAAGUAGCGUGCAGGAAGACGGCGCUAUGGGUUGUAAACUGCUUUUAUAAGGGAAUUAAGUGGGUCACGUGUGACUUUGUGCAUGUACCGUAUGAAUAAGGACCGGCUAAUUCCGUG